Triticum dicoccoides is the source of this 493-nucleotide long non-coding RNA. RefSeq lists it as uncharacterized. The record is from RefSeq and is a predicted model, not a curated record. The transcript is spliced from 3 exons. NCBI's taxonomy places the organism in Eukaryota, Viridiplantae, Streptophyta, Magnoliopsida, Poales, Poaceae.
CUCAUUGUAUGGAGUGAACUGAGACAGCAACUAGCUGGACGUGAAAGUGUUGUUCCUGAAGGAGAAGUAUGAGGUUGUGCUUGAGAAGAUCUCCAGGCUGGAGGAGAUGGCUUCUCUAUUCAUUUAUUUUCUCCCUGAAGCAUGAGAUGUCGGAUUCAGAGCAACAAGGCGACUAAAGGAUGGGGUUAUGGCAAGGAGGCACACACAUGGAUGAUCGGUGAGGUCGCUAGAGCUUAUGAGAGCGGAAUGGAUUCUGUCGCCACGAUGUUGAAUGGGAUGCGCACCACUGUUUUUGUACCUAUAUUAAAGUAUAUUUGUGUGAUGAGCAGCUACAGCUUGUGUUUGCAAAUAUGUUCCUUUUUAGCUUUAACCAUUUUUGUGAAGAGAAUAUUUUGUAAACCAAUGCAAACUUUGCCUAAAUUACCAUCCAUUUGGCAAAAUGUUAAAGCAGAUUAGAUCAUUCCUCGCAAUAAUCAUUGGAGUUAAGUUUCAA